CACGUAGGGGGCGAGCGUUGUCCGGAUUUAUUGGGCGUAAAGAGCUCGUAGGCGGUUCGGCAAGUCGGGUGUGAAAUUUCGAGGCUACAACCUCGAAACGCCACUCGAUACUGCUGGUGACUGGAGUCCGGUAGAGGGAGUGCGGAAUUCCUGGUGUAGCGGUGAAAUGCGCAGAUAUCGAGAGGAACACCAGUGGCGAAGGCGAGUCCCGUGGACAACACCUGACACUGAGGCGCGAAAGCUAGGGGAGCAAACAGG
RNAcentral lists this ribosomal RNA (258 nucleotides) under uncultured bacterium. RNAcentral describes it as "partial 16S ribosomal RNA". It matches the Rfam family "Bacterial small subunit ribosomal RNA", at positions 524 to 776 of the family's 1533-position model. The record is from RNAcentral.